Molecule: ribosomal RNA, 551 nt
Filed under: uncultured bacterium
Lineage: Bacteria
Description: bacterial SSU rRNA
Rfam family: Bacterial small subunit ribosomal RNA
Source: RNAcentral
UAGGGAAUCUUCGGCAAUGGACGGAAGUCUGACCGAGCAACGCCGCGUGAGUGAAGAAGGUUUUCGGAUCGUAAAGCUCUGUUGUAAGAGAAGAACGAGUGUGAGAGUGGAAAGUUCACACUGUGACGGUAUCUUACCAGAAAGGGACGGCUAACUACGUGCCAGCAGCCGCGGUAAUACGUAGGUCCCGAGCGUUGUCCGGAUUUAUUGGGCGUAAAGCGAGCGCAGGCGGUUAGAUAAGUCUGAAGUUAAAGGCUGUGGCUUAACCAUAGUACGCUUUGGAAACUGUUUAACUUGAGUGCAAGAGGGGAGAGUGGAAUUCCAUGUGUAGCGGCGAAAUGCGUAGAUAUAUGGAGGAACACCGGUGGCGAAAGCGGCUCUCUGGCUUGUAACUGACGCUGAGGCUCGAAAGCGUGGGGAGCAAACAGGAUUAGAUACCCUGGUAGUCCACGCCGUAAACGAUGAGUGCUAGGUGUUAGACCCUUUCCGGGGUUUAGUGCCGCAGCUAACGCAUUAAGCACUCCGCCUGGGGAGUACGACCGCGNAGGUUG